AUUGAACGCUGGCGGAAUGCUUUACACAUGCAAGUCGAGCGGCAGCGCGGGGGCAACCCUGGCGGCGAGCGGCGAACGGGUGAGUAACACAUCGGAACGUACCCUAUCGUGGGGGAUAGCUCGGCGAAAGCCGGAUUAAUACCGCAUAAGACCUGAGGGUGAAAGCGGGGGAUCGCAAGACCUCGCGCGAUUGGAGCGGCCGAUGUCGGAUUAGCUAGUUGGUGAGGUAAAGGCUCACCAAGGCGACGAUCCGUAGCUGGUCUGAGAGGACGACCAGCCACACUGGAACUGAGACACGGUCCAGACUCCUACGGGAGGCAGCAGUGGGGAAUUUUGGACAAUGGGGGAAACCCUGAUCCAGCCAUUCCGCGUGAGUGAAGAAGGCCUUCGGGUUGUAAAGCUCUUUCGGCAGGAACGAAACGGUGGAGGCUAAUACCUUCCAUCAAUGACGGUACCUGAAGAAGAAGCACCGGCUAACUACGUGCCAGCAGCCGCGGUAAUACGUAGGGUGCGAGCGUUAAUCGGAAUUACUGGGCGUAAAGCGUGCGCAGGCGGCUUUGUAAGACAGGUGUGAAAUCCCCGGGCUUAACCUGGGAACUGCGCUUGUGACUGCAAGGCUUGAGUGCGGCAGAGGGGGGUGGAAUUCCACGUGUAGCAGUGAAAUGCGUAGAGAUGUGGAGGAACACCGAUGGCGAAGGCAGCCCCCUGGGUCGACACUGACGCUCAUGCACGAAAGCGUGGGUAGCAAACAGGAUUAGAUACCCUGGUAGUCCACGCCCUAAACGAUGCCAACUAGGUGUUGGGGAAGGAGACUUCCUUAGUACCGUAGCUAACGCGUGAAGUUGGCCGCCUGGGGAGUACGGUCGCAAGAUUA
This 874-nucleotide ribosomal RNA is filed under the name uncultured bacterium. Its description in RNAcentral is "bacterial SSU rRNA". It matches the Rfam family "Bacterial small subunit ribosomal RNA", at positions 28 to 896 of the family's 1533-position model. The record is from RNAcentral.